CCUACGGGAGGCAGCAGUGAGGAAUAUUGGUCAAUGGGCGCGAGCCUGAACCAGCCAAGUCGCGUGAGGGAUGAAGGUUCUAUGGAUCGUAAACCUCUUUUAUAAGGGAAUAAAGUGUGGGACGUGUCCUAUUUUGUAUGUACCUUAUGAAUAAGGAUCGGCUAACUCUGUGCCAGCAGCCGCGGUAAUACGGGGGGUCCGAGCGUUAUCCGGUUGUAUUGGGUUUAAAGGGUGCGUAGGCGGCCUUUUAAGUAAGCGGUGAAAGUCUGUGGCUCAACCAUAGAAUUGCCGUUGAAACUGGGGGGCUUGAGUAUGUUUGAGGAAGGCGGAAUGCGUGGUGUAGCGGUGAAAUGCUUAGAUAUCACGCAGAACCCCGAUUGCGAAGGCGGCCUGCCAAGCCAUGACUGACGCUGAUGCACGAAAGCGUGGGGAUCAAACAGGAUUAGAUACCCGAGUAGUC
This 460-nucleotide ribosomal RNA is filed under the name uncultured bacterium. RNAcentral's name for it is "partial 16S ribosomal RNA". It matches the Rfam family "Bacterial small subunit ribosomal RNA", at positions 338 to 795 of the family's 1533-position model. The record is from RNAcentral.